This 497-nucleotide ribosomal RNA is filed under the name uncultured bacterium. Its description in RNAcentral is "partial 16S ribosomal RNA". It matches the Rfam family "Bacterial small subunit ribosomal RNA", at positions 28 to 507 of the family's 1533-position model. The record is from RNAcentral.
GAUGAACGCUGGCGGCGUGCCUAAUACAUGCAAGUCGAGCGAACAGACGAGGAGCUUGCUCCUCUGACGUUAGCGGCGGACGGGUGAGUAACACGUGGAUAACCUACCUAUAAGACUGGGAUAACUUCGGGAAACCGGAGCUAAUACCGGAUAAUAUAUUGAACCGCAUGGUUCAAUAGUGAAUGACGGUUUUGCUGUCACUUAUAGAUGGAUCCGCGCCGCAUUAGCUAGUUGGUAAGGUAACGGCUUACCAAGGCAACGAUGCGUAGCCGACCUGAGAGGGUGAUCGGCCACACGGGAACUGGGACGCGGUCCAGACUCCUACGGGAGGCAGCAGUAGGGAAUCUUCCGCAAUGGGCGAAAGCCUGACGGAACAACGCCGCGUGAGUGAUGAAGGUCUUCGGAGCGGAAAACUCUGUUAUUAGGGAAGAACAAAUGUGUAAGUAACUAUGCACGUCUUGACGGUACCUAAUCAGAAAGCCACGGCUAACUACGUG